RNAcentral lists this ribosomal RNA (900 nucleotides) under Trichoderma sp. DV-2018a. RNAcentral describes it as "LSU rRNA". It matches the Rfam family "Eukaryotic large subunit ribosomal RNA", at positions 36 to 966 of the family's 3401-position model. The record is from RNAcentral. Lineage: Eukaryota; Fungi; Ascomycota; Sordariomycetes; Hypocreales; Hypocreaceae.
AAGCAUAUCAAUAAGCGGAGGAAAAGAAACCAACAGGGAUUGCCCCAGUAACGGCGAGUGAAGCGGCAACAGCUCAAAUUUGAAAUCUGGCCCCUAGGGUCCGAGUUGUAAUUUGUAGAGGAUGCUUUUGGUGAGGUGCCGCCCGAGUUCCCUGGAACGGGACGCCACAGAGGGUGAGAGCCCCGUCUGGCUGGCCACCGAGCCUCUGUAAAGCUCCUUCGACGAGUCGAGUAGUUUGGGAAUGCUGCUCAAAAUGGGAGGUAUAUGUCUUCUAAAGCUAAAUAUUGGCCAGAGACCGAUAGCGCACAAGUAGAGUGAUCGAAAGAUGAAAAGCACCUUGAAAAGAGGGUUAAAUAGUACGUGAAAUUGUUGAAAGGGAAGCGCUUGUGACCAGACUUGGGCGCGGCGGAUCAUCCGGGGUUCUCUCCGGUGCACUUCGCCGCGUCUAGGCCAGCAUCAGUUCGUCGCGGGGGAAAAAGGCUUCGGGAACGUGGCUCCUCCGGGAGUGUUAUAGCCCGUUGCAUAAUACCCUGCGGUGGACUGAGGACCGCGCAUCUGCAAGGAUGCUGGCGUAAUGGUCACCAGCGACCCGUCUUGAAACACGGACCAAGGAGUCGUCUUCGUAUGCGAGUGUUCGGGUGUCAAACCCCUACGCGUAAUGAAAGUGAACGCAGGUGAGAGCUUCGGCGCAUCAUCGACCGAUCCUGAUGUUCUCGGAUGGAUUUGAGUAAGAGCAUACGGGGCCGGACCCGAAAGAAGGUGAACUAUGCCUGUAUAGGGUGAAGCCAGAGGAAACUCUGGUGGAGGCUCGCAGCGGUUCUGACGUGCAAAUCGAUCGUCAAAUAUGGGCAUGGGGGCGAAAGACUAAUCCAACCUUCUAGUAGCUGGUUUCCGCCGAAG